Molecule: non-coding RNA, 466 nt
Organism: Lonchura striata (white-rumped munia)
Lineage: Eukaryota; Metazoa; Chordata; Aves; Passeriformes; Estrildidae
Source: RefSeq, a predicted model, not a curated record
AGCGCGGACGGGGAGAGGCGGCGGGGACGGGGCUGCGGCCCCGCCGCCUCCGCUCGCGGGCGGUGCGCGGCAGCUCCCGAGGUCACGGCAGGAGUUAACAGACCCCACAACAAUCCCCAUCCCUUCCCUUUUACGUAGGCACUUUCCUCACCGUGCCAUUCAAACGGGCGUGAUGACAAGAACGCGCUGGUUUCAUCCCGGACCGAAAUCCCGUGGUUUUUAGCUGUAGCUGUCGGCGUGCAAAGCAUCCAGCGAUGCUCCUGAUCUCGCAGAGGGAUUGAAACGCCUCCUGCAUUUUGAAGCGCCUCGUCAUCCCUAGAUUUACGUUUAUAAAUACGUAGAUGCUGCUGCUAAUUCUUGGUUUUCUCACAGACUUUCGCGUGUUUACGGCUCGCUGGAAAGUUUCCUCCCCGCUCCCUUCUGAUCGCGCCAACCAAAGCUGUUAUAUAAAUGAACUUUCAGGCCA